UACGGAGGGUGCGAGCGUUGUUCGGAAUUACUGGGCGUAAAGGGCGCGUAGGCGGCCUUCUAAGUCAGACGUGAAAUCCCUCGGCUCAACCGAGGAACUGCGUCUGAUACUGGAAGGCUUGAAUCCGGGAGAGGGAUGUGGAAUUCCAGGUGUAGCGGUGAAAUGCGUAGAUAUCUGGAGGAACACCGGUGGCGAAGGCGGCAUCCUGGACCGGUAUUGACGCUGAGGCGCGAAAGCUAGGGGAGCAAACGGG
Molecule: ribosomal RNA, 253 nt
Filed under: uncultured bacterium
Lineage: Bacteria
Description: partial 16S ribosomal RNA
Rfam family: Bacterial small subunit ribosomal RNA
Source: RNAcentral